CUGCAGAUGCUGGAGAUUCCAAGAUAAUAAAAUGUGAGGCUGGAUGAACACAGCAGGCCAAGCAGCAUCUCAGGAGCACAAAAGCUGACGUUUCGGGCCUAGACCCUUCAUCAGAGAGUACAGGUGUGCCGUGCAUGACCGGACGGAUGUCGCCCAAUCGGAAUGAAGGGAGGGCGGGAUCAGUGAAAACCACGUGAUCAUCCACGAGUGCGGUGCAGAGUCGCUGAGAUAACCGGAACUGCAGAUGCUGGAGAAUCCGAGAUAACACGGUGUGCAGCUGGAUGUACACAGCAGGUCAAGCAGCAUCAGAGGAGCAGGAAAGCUGAUGUUUCGGGCCUAGAUCCUUCGCUGAGACCAAGAUUUGUGCAAUUGAGAUACCAGCGAUCGUUGCCAAAGCCCUGUUACCUGUGGAGAAGGAUAUUACAAGUGGACUUUCAGGUAGGAAGCUCAAUUGUAACACCAAACUCUGACAGAAUUACUCAAUUCAUCAGGACCUGGAUAUUCCCAUUGUGUAUUUCCACAAUUUUACUUCUGCACUAUUCUUCGUCUUUCAGAGGGAUCGAAAGGUUGAGUUACAGAUCUAUACAAUGACUGUCCUUCCUCGCUGGCUCCCCCACCUCUCUCUUUUGGUAGUUUUAUGCAAACACUGACUGGAUCCCUUACCUGGAGGAUAUUUAUGAAUGAAUUUGUUCUAAUGGUGAUCCAGCAUUUUCCCCAAGUAUCGCUCCACACAUGCCCAGAGAAUUUCUCAGUUUCACAAUCUGUGUCCUUCUGGUUUCUUACUCGCUACACUUAACUUUCUGUUUGAAAGUAUAGUCUGCAGUUGGAGAAUUUAAACAGGUCCACAUCCAGGUCUGACGGUCACUUUGUUUAUCACAACCCAAUUAUCUCAGGAUUUUGAACAUUGAAGGAAAACGCAGCACUCACAUUGGGGAGAAAUGCACAUGGUGUGUGUGUUGAAGAGUCUGUGAAGAUUCAUCUGAAAUGUCCGAACACCAGUGCAGUGACACUGGGAGACAGUGUGGAAAUGUGCAGAUUGCAGGAAGGAAUUUCUUCAUCCAUCCCAGCUAGAAACUGACCACCAGAGUCACACUGGAGAGAGACCAUUGACGUGUUCUGCAUGAGGGAAAGGCUUUGCUGAUUCGAAUUCCCCGCUGAUACACCAGCGAGUUCACUCUGGGGAGAGACCUUUCAUGAGCUCUGAGUGUGGGAAGGGAUUCAUUGUCAUCCAAACUGUUAACACACCAGCGAGUUCACAGACAACCACAGUUGAAGAACUUUGCUGUCACUCUCACUAUCAAAUGAACCAUGGUUUUGGGCUGUUUGUACAGAUGUUACCGAUCCCUGCUCAAUUAAAGGUGCUGGUAUUGUGAAUAAAAUGUCACACUAA
Molecule: long non-coding RNA, 1390 nt
Organism: Stegostoma tigrinum
Lineage: Eukaryota; Metazoa; Chordata; Chondrichthyes; Orectolobiformes; Stegostomatidae
Exons: 4
Source: RefSeq, a predicted model, not a curated record